UACGUAGGGUGCGAGCGUUAAUCGGAAUUACUGGGCGUAAAGCGUGCGCAGGCGGUUCGUCGUGUCCGAUGUGAAAGCCCCGGGCUCAACCUGGGAAUGGCAUUGGUGACUGCACGGCUAGAGUGUGUCAGAGGGGGGUAGAAUUCCACGUGUAGCGGUGGAAUGCGUAGAGAUCCGGAAGAACACCGGUGGCGAAGGCGGCCUGCUGGGCAGUAGCUGACACUGAGGCGCGACAGCGUGGGGAGCAAACAGG
RNAcentral lists this ribosomal RNA (253 nucleotides) under uncultured bacterium. Its description in RNAcentral is "partial 16S ribosomal RNA". It matches the Rfam family "Bacterial small subunit ribosomal RNA", at positions 524 to 776 of the family's 1533-position model. The record is from RNAcentral.